This 492-nucleotide ribosomal RNA is filed under the name uncultured bacterium. Its description in RNAcentral is "partial 16S ribosomal RNA". It matches the Rfam family "Bacterial small subunit ribosomal RNA", at positions 29 to 507 of the family's 1533-position model. The record is from RNAcentral.
AGUGAACGCUGGCGGUAGGCCUAACACAUGCAAGUCGAACGGCAGCACAGUAAGAGCUUGCUCUUACGGGUGGCGAGUGGCGGACGGGUGAGGAAUACAUCGGAAUCUACUUUUUCGUGGGGGAUAACGUAGGGAAACUUACGCUAAUACCGCAUACGACCUACGGGUGAAAGCAGGGGAUCUUCGGACCUUGCGCGAUUGAAUGAGCCGAUGUCGGAUUAGCUAGUUGGCGGGGUAAAGGCCCACCAAGGCGACGAUCCGUAGCUGGUCUGAGAGGAUGAUCAGCCACACUGGAACUGAGACACGGUCCAGACUCCUACGGGAGGCAGCAGUGGGGAAUAUUGGGCAAUGGGCGCAAGCCUGAUCCAGCCAUACCGCGUGGGUGAAGAAGGCCUUCGGGUUGUAAAGCCCUUUUGUAGGGAAAGAAAAGCAGCAGGUUAAUACCCCGCUGUUCUGACGGUACCCAAAGAAUAAGCACCGGCUAACUUCGUG